This 620-nucleotide unclassified non-coding RNA is filed under the name Homo sapiens (human). RNAcentral describes it as "tripartite motif containing 31 (ENSG00000223531.9, ENSG00000224168.9)". Lineage: Eukaryota; Metazoa; Chordata; Mammalia; Primates; Hominidae. The record is from RNAcentral.
GAAUGGAAAGGAUGUGAAAAUUUGACUCAGAAGGUUUGGGCUCAAGCCCAGUCUUGUGAGUUUACUGUACAACCUGCAAGGAAUCACUUUACCUCUCUGAGCCUCAGGGGCAGAUUCAAGAGCAGAUCCAAGUCUUGCAGCAAAAGGAGAAGGAGACAGUACAAGUGAAGGCACAAGGUGUACACAGGGUCGAUGUCUUCACGGACCAGGUAGAACAUGAGAAGCAAAGGAUCCUCACAGAAUUUGAACUCCUGCAUCAAGUCCUAGAGGAGGAGAAGAAUUUCCUGCUAUCACGGAUUUACUGGCUGGGUCAUGAGGGAACGGAAGCGGGGAAACACUAUGUUGCCUCCACUGAGCCACAGUUGAACGAUCUCAAGAAGCUCGUUGAUUCCCUGAAGACCAAGCAGAACAUGCCACCCAGGCAGCUGCUGGAGGAUAUCAAAGUCGUCUUGUGCAGAAGUGAAGAGUUUCAGUUUCUCAACCCAACCCCUGUUCCUCUAGAACUGGAGAAAAAACUCAGUGAAGCAAAAUCAAGACACGACUCCAUCACAGGGAGCCUGAAAAAAUUCAAAGACCAACUCCAGGCUGAUAGGAAAAAAGAUGAAAACAGAUUCUUCAAA